Cyprinus carpio carpio is the source of this 377-nucleotide long non-coding RNA. The record is from Ensembl. Lineage: Eukaryota; Metazoa; Chordata; Actinopteri; Cypriniformes; Cyprinidae.
GUCAGCCGCAUCACCAGGACCCAUCACAUGUAGGUCAGGUGACCUUCAGAAAGAUGGAAACGUAUUGCUUCAUUGCCUCAUGAGGUCCCACACUGAACCCUGGUCCUGCUACAUUUCCCACCCGAACGCGAGGCUCUGAAUGGAUGAAUGGCCGCCGUUUGUGAAGGACAGUAGAGAGUCGACAGGAAAGGACUGGGGGGAGACAGUGGAGCGGGAUCGGAAAAGGACCUUGAGACGGGAAUCGAACUAGUGUCUCCAUGAGCACAGUUGCGCUAUAUGUUGAUGCACUAACCACGAGGCUAUUGGCGUCAACAUGGUACUGGACAGUAGAUUAAUGUCGGCAGACGUGAACUUGAAAAAUAGUGUGAAUAAAUUUU